UGUCAAUAUCCCGUGAUAGGAAUUUACCCGUGGAAUUUACUAAUCUUCGGAGUUCCAGAAAUGUUAUAAAAUAAAAACCUUAAAAGGGUAACACUAGAGAUGUACCAAAAAUUGGAAAAAAACACAAAUCCGUAUAGUCGACCAAGAAAGUGGUCUACCAGUUUUGAUAAAAGUUUCUGCGAGCUCUAACGAUCGCUAAGGCUGACUUGACACAUGGCAUGACAUACCUGCAACGACGGCUAGGAGACUGUCUCUCACCCUGCCGCUCACCCUGCGGAGCGUGGCAGCGCAGCGCUUGUGCAAAGGGGAUAGCAGGAUAAGCUAAGAAAAAUUGCCCCCAAAGCUUUGAGUUGGAAACUAUUACCAGUUGAUGCCCUGUCAAGAGAAAAUGCUUCAUACCAAUUUUUAACCCUCUACUGCCAUCUGGAAUCUCACGGCGUGCAUUUAACCCUAAAACGUUUUUAUUUUUUUCUCAAAAAGUAUAAAACGGAUAAAUAUGAAAUUUUAACU
This is a long non-coding RNA of Leguminivora glycinivorella, 510 nucleotides long. RefSeq lists it as uncharacterized. The transcript has 3 exons. NCBI's taxonomy places the organism in Eukaryota, Metazoa, Arthropoda, Insecta, Lepidoptera, Tortricidae. The record is from RefSeq and is a predicted model, not a curated record.